UGUAGUCUGCAACUCGACUACAUGAAGCUGGAAUCGCUAGUAAUCGCGAAUCAGAAUGUCGCGGUGAAUACGUUCCCGGGUCUUGUACACACCGCCCGUCACACCAUGGGAGUCGGAAAUGCCCGAAGUCAGUGACCUAACCGAAAGGGAGGAGCUGCCGAAGGUGGAGCCGGUAACUGGGGUGAAGUCGUAACAAGGUAGC
This 202-nucleotide ribosomal RNA is filed under the name uncultured bacterium. RNAcentral's name for it is "partial 16S ribosomal RNA". It matches the Rfam family "Bacterial small subunit ribosomal RNA", at positions 1299 to 1500 of the family's 1533-position model. The record is from RNAcentral.